GGUGUCUUUUGGGGUGUUUGCGGCUCCGAACAAACCUUUGAGAAACGCUGGCGCUUGGGGGCUUUGUGCUACAGAAGUGUGCCCAUCAUCAACGCGGUUUGAUGUCUGAGGAGCUCCCUGUGAUGGUCACGAAAAAUAACUGUUAAUGUGGAACUGAAAGUGGGGAUUUGUUAGUGGCAUAACCUUCCAGAGCUGUGUAGAACGCGGUUUUCACAACGAUGACUGUUGGCCGUUAAUUUUCUCUCUAUAAACAAAAACUCAGCUGCUCAGCUUUGUCCAGGAAUUAAAUCUGAGGAACAACUACUUUACAUUAAGGGUGACAGAACUCUGAAACAGGCUGCCCGGGAAGGUCGUGGAGUCUCUCUCUCUGGAGACAUUACAAACCCACCUGGAUGUGCUCCUGUAUCACCUGCUCUAGGUGACCUUGUCUUGGCAGGGGCAUUGACUAGAUGAUCUCCAGAAGCCCCUUCAAACCCUAACAAUUCUGUGAUACUGUGAUCUCUUUGUCUGGUAACAUGGUUUGUGCUAGAGGAUUAAAAAGGCCUUAAGAAUCUUUUUAUUUUUGACUUGAUGAAGUAGUUACAUUCCUGUAGUCUUUUUUCUUUUUCUUUUGAGAAAACCAUUUUUGUUGUUGUUUUACAAAAAUAGGUCUGUUUUUUUUUUCUGUCCUUGCUGCAGUAAUGAGAAUGCAUAUGAGUGACUUACCUGAUGCUCUUAAAAGAUGAGCGACAUGGAGAAAUAAUGUUUUUGUGGUGAUAUCAUGUUGGGAGUGAGAAAAGGUUUCCUACCUUGACCUUUUGUGCAAUGCUGAGAUACCAGAUUGAGGACUCAUGAAAUACAGGAGGUACAAUCUUCAGAGCAAAGUCAAAUCAGGUGGCUGAGCUGAUCCAACAGUUGUCCACUCCGGGAAAUGAGGUUUCACUUCUUCAUCCACCCCUUGCUGAUGUCCGUCAGAACCCUUGCUGAGCCAGAACAUUUCACUAAGCCAGCAGAAAGCCAUCCAGUGGUCUGAUGCGGUUUAAGAUUUGUUUGUUGGGUUUCGUUGGUUUUUUUUCAAACUAGCAUUAAUCUUAUGCCAGAUUAUUAAUUAGAAUAUCUCACAGACAAGACCAAAGACUGCUAGAGCCAGUUUAAUGUAGGAGGGUAGGGAGAUUCAACUUGCAGAUCGCUCAAAUAUUUAAUAGCCACAAUAGUGAACUGAUUCUCUAGGUUUUAUCACAAUUCCUGACUAGCGUCUGCUUCUGAAGCUGUGUUUUUGGUUUAACGUGAUGUUAUUCUCCUAACAGGUGCACUCCUUUAUUGCCGUGAUACCUUCACAUGAUUUACAAAGGUGUCAUUCUAAAUUUUUUUAAAAGUAAAAAUAACUGAAUAGAUUGAUCAGUCAGGAUUGAUUGAGGUACAUUGUCUUCUAUUGUCAUUCAAUCUGUCCUUGUUAAUAAACUUAUUUCUUCACUAGCUUUUCGAUUUUGAUCAGGAGUGGGAUGAUACUUUAGAUAGUAAUGAGAUAAUAAAGACAGUAGUUCAGUAAUCUGUUGUCAUGGGGCUUAUUUCACUUCACA
Molecule: long non-coding RNA, 1559 nt
Organism: Neopelma chrysocephalum (saffron-crested tyrant-manakin)
Lineage: Eukaryota; Metazoa; Chordata; Aves; Passeriformes; Pipridae
Exons: 4
Source: RefSeq, a predicted model, not a curated record